AAACUGUAAGAGGGGGAUGGGUGUAGAAACAGCUGUUCUGGAGCUCCAGGGAAGGCUGAUGACAGCAGGAAGGAAAGAGCACACAGCACGGCAGGAGCAGAGAGUCAGUUUCCAUGAUGAAUUUGAGGACGAAGAGCAACUUUUUUGGCAAGAAGUUCACUGUCCUGGUAAACACGAUAAAGGGGGUGCAACAUAUGUGCUGAAGUCAUUUAAGGGCAGAGGAAUCAGCAGAGGACCUCUGAAAACCUGGAAGGACAGGACAGGUUGUGGUGCUGCACAAACCUAGAGAUGAAACAGGGAAGAAUCAGAAUUAGGUAAAGUUCUUUUAGCAAGAGGAUACAUUAUAAUUAUUCAACAGCAUGCCCCUGGGAUUGUGCUGAGAAUUUGCCUAUCAUCUCUCUGGCCUGUAGCCAGAACUGCUUCCCAGCUGAGUGGAAUUGUCCAAGCAGAUGUUCCACAAACUGCUGCUCAUGACUUUUAAUUACCUUUAGGGCAAAAACUGACAUAUGAAAGAGUAACAGCGCAGCAUGACAGAAGUAAUGAUUUUCUGUGCUUUUAUUUCAGAAACUAGGAAUAGGAAUAGUUCCUCCCUUCCAUCCUUCUAUUACAAUAACGAGCUCCAGGACCAGGGUGCUUUUGUCUCUAGUCAUCCUUUGGACAAGAACAGGCAACACAAUAGUUAUUCAAGACCCAAAUGGGAUAAAACCAGGUUGUAAUUUAACAACAAAAUAGCAGCUUGGGCUUGUGUUGCAGCUGUAUUAAACAUUUUUAGAAUUCAAGUGUUCUCUCAUGGCAUAGAAUAAAAAUGCAG
This 811-nucleotide long non-coding RNA is filed under the name Lepisosteus oculatus (spotted gar). RNAcentral describes it as "lncRNA (ENSLOCG00000022607.1)". The record is from RNAcentral. Lineage: Eukaryota; Metazoa; Chordata; Actinopteri; Semionotiformes; Lepisosteidae.